ACAAAAAAAAACAUUUGGCCCGUGUUUCUCUCUCUCUCGCUCUGUGUCCGACGAGCCUUCACGAAAUCGGAACCCAAUGGAGGAUAAAUUGGCUCGUCGGAGUCUUCUAUCCGCCGGAGAUGAUGGUCACGAUCGGCGAUGAGAUGUUCAGCAAAUCGUCGACUCUGUUGAGCAAAUCCGCGAUUUUCGUUCAGCAAAUUAGGGUUAUUUGAAUCUGUAUGUGUUAUUAGGCAUGAAUGUGAUUAUGUUUCUGUAUAGGAUCCAACCAUUGGGUUUACUUAACAAUGGAAGGCAAUGAGGAAUUGAAUCAAUCUGGGUUUUGAUCUUCAAAUCUAUUUGCUUUAUCCCGAUUUUGCUAAUUCUAAAAAAAUGGUUUCGUUGUUGUUGAAUCUCGAGCGUUGAUGCUUAAGGGUUUUGAAGAUCUUGCUGUUGCUGUUAAAGUCACCAUGGGUCCAAAGAUUCAGAAGUUUGAGUUUCCCGAUGAAAUGUAUUUUGGUUGAGUGAUUUGUAUUUGUGUAUUUGUCCAUGAGGUGUUUACCAUUGGACUAGCCAAAACUAAUAAACAUGCUUAAGUG
Long non-coding RNA from Camelina sativa (false flax), 575 nucleotides. RefSeq lists it as uncharacterized. Lineage: Eukaryota; Viridiplantae; Streptophyta; Magnoliopsida; Brassicales; Brassicaceae. The record is from RefSeq and is a predicted model, not a curated record.